CGGACGGGUGAGUAACGCGUGGGUAACCUGCCUUGCACUGGGGGAUAACACUUAGAAAUAGGUGCUAAUACCGCAUAAGCGCACGGUCCUGCAUGGGACAGUGUGAAAAACUCCGGUGGUGCAAGAUGGACCCGCGUCUGAUUAGCUGGUUGGCGGGGUAAAGGCCCACCAAGGCGACGAUCAGUAGCCGGCCUGAGAGGGCGGACGACCACAUUGGGACUGAGACACGGCCCAGACUCCUACGGGAGGCAGCAG
RNAcentral lists this ribosomal RNA (255 nucleotides) under uncultured bacterium. RNAcentral describes it as "partial 16S ribosomal RNA". It matches the Rfam family "Bacterial small subunit ribosomal RNA", at positions 99 to 354 of the family's 1533-position model. The record is from RNAcentral.